RNAcentral lists this ribosomal RNA (393 nucleotides) under uncultured bacterium. RNAcentral's name for it is "partial 16S ribosomal RNA". It matches the Rfam family "Bacterial small subunit ribosomal RNA", at positions 523 to 918 of the family's 1533-position model. The record is from RNAcentral.
AUACGGAGGAUCCGAGCGUUAUCCGGAUUUAUUGGGUUUAAAGGGUGCGCAGGCGGGAGAUUAAGUCGGCGGUGAAAUUUUGCAGCUCAACUGUAAAAGUGCCUUCGAAACUGGUUUCCUUGAGUGUAGAUGAAGUAGGCGGAAUUUGUGGUGUAGCGGUGAAAAGCAUAAAUAUCACGAAGAACUCCGAUUGCGCAGGCAACUUACUAAACUACUUCCGACGCUCAGGCACGGAGGCGGGGGGAUCAAACAGGAUUAGAGACCCUGGUAGUCCACGCCAUAAACGAUGAUUACUAGCUGUUUGCGAUACAAUGUAAGCGGCUGAGCGAAAGCGUUAAGUAAUCCACCUGGGGAGUACGUUCGCAAGAAUGAAACUCAAAUGAAAUGGCGGGG